Molecule: long non-coding RNA, 424 nt
Filed under: Homo sapiens (human)
Lineage: Eukaryota; Metazoa; Chordata; Mammalia; Primates; Hominidae
Description: HSALNT0157963
Source: RNAcentral
GCUGCCACCCGUUAUAUGAGAAAGGUCAGAAGAUAUUCCCAUGACACAUACUCUCUGAUAGUCAUCUGUGACGAGCUGGACAUCACUACUGCCGGUCAUCUGUGAUGGGCCGGACAUCACUACUGCUUUGUGAGUUGAAGCAUUAGAUGAAACCAUAAUAUUUACUGCUGCACAUAUGCUCACUGUCAGUAUAAUAUAUUUCAAAGCAGCCUCCUGCUAUGAUGGCGAGGGGAAGGGAGAAACCAGGAAGGGAAAGUGUCAAGGUUUAUUCGGUGUGUCAGCUAAAAAGAGCAACAAGCAACUCACUUGUUUCUAGAAUACCCUUGUGAGUGAGGUGAAUUACACUGAAACUUGUUUUGAAAUAAAGAAAUUGCUGCUUGAGAAAGCAGCCUCAUGGCACUGGGAACAAAUAUUAACAAAUAAU